GAUGAACGCUGGCGGCGUGCCUAAUACAUGCAAGUCGAGCGAACAGACGAGGAGCUUGCUCCUCUGACGUUAGCGGCGGACGGGUGAGUAACACGUGGAUAACCUACCUAUAAGACUGGGAUAACUUCGGGAAACCGGAGCUAAUACCGGAUAAUAUAUUGAACCGCAUGGUUCAAUAGUGAAAGACGGUUUUGCUGUCACUUAUAGAUGGAUCCGCGCCGCAUUAGCUAGUUGGUAAGGUAACGGCUUACCAAGGCAACGAUUCGUAGCCGACCUGAGAGGGUGAUCGGCCACACUGGAACUGAGACACGGUCCAGACUCCUACGGGAGGCAGCAGUAGGGAAUCUUCCGCAAUGGGCGAAAGCCUGACGGAGCAACGCCGCGUGAGUGAUGAAGGUCUUCGGAUCGUAAAACUCUGUUAUUAGGGAAGACCAAAUGUGUAAGUAACUAUGCACGUCUUGACGGUACCUAAUCAGAAAGCCACGGCUAACUACGUG
RNAcentral lists this ribosomal RNA (497 nucleotides) under uncultured bacterium. Its description in RNAcentral is "partial 16S ribosomal RNA". It matches the Rfam family "Bacterial small subunit ribosomal RNA", at positions 28 to 507 of the family's 1533-position model. The record is from RNAcentral.